UCAGUUGACUAUUUUCAUCGGUUGUUUUAAUUCACUCCUAACAAACAGUAUAAACGUUAAACUUUUGUAACGCUUUUGUAAUUCUUUUUUCUUUUCGUUUGGUUGUAGAAGAGUCCAAUCCAGAGCAAUCCAAAUCUAAAUUUUAUUUAGCACUAAACCAAAUGUAGGUUGAACUAGCAUAUUUGGGUUUUGGAGAGGAAUGGCAUAUGAACCCAUUAAAAACAAAUGAAAAAUGUUCCUGAUGGUAAACUCAAGGUUUAGCAGUACUGUAUUUGAAGUUGACAUGUAUGUAAUGGCUCAUCUCUGACCUCGAUGCGAUUUUCCCAUUUCUCCCUUUUGAAUUACGUAACAUCUGUAAUUUGGCAUAAAUUGAUUGUCAACAGAAAAGCCAGCAAAUGGACACUACGGAGGUUAUAAACCCAUAAUAUGCAUUUAGGAUGUUCUAAAAUAACUAUUUCUUGUAUACUUUUAUUUGUUAAAAUAAACUAUUUUAUUUA
Long non-coding RNA from Anthonomus grandis grandis, 497 nucleotides. RefSeq lists it as uncharacterized. The transcript has 5 exons. NCBI's taxonomy places the organism in Eukaryota, Metazoa, Arthropoda, Insecta, Coleoptera, Curculionidae. The record is from RefSeq and is a predicted model, not a curated record.